AGCGAACGCUGGCGGCAGGCCUAACACAUGCGAGUCGAACGGAUCCUUCGGGAUUAGUGGCGGACGGGUGAGUAACACGUGGGAACGUGCCCUUUGGUUCGGAACAACUCAGGGAAACUUGAGCUAAUACCGGAUGUGCCCUUCGGGGGAAAGAUUUAUCGCCAUUGGAGCGGCCCGCGUCUGAUUAGCUAGUUGGUGAGGUAACGGCCCACCAAGGCGACGAUCAGUAGCUGGUCUGAGAGGAUGAUCAGCCACACUGGGACUGAGACACGGCCCAGACUCCUACGGGAGGCAGCAGUGGGGAAUCUUGCGCAAUGGGCGAAAGCCUGACGCAGCCAUGCCGCGUGAAUGAUGAAGGUCUUAGGAUUGUAAAAUUCUUUCAGCGGGGACGAUAAUGACGGUACCCGCAGAAGAAGCUCCGGCUAACUUCGU
RNAcentral lists this ribosomal RNA (432 nucleotides) under uncultured bacterium. Its description in RNAcentral is "partial 16S ribosomal RNA". It matches the Rfam family "Bacterial small subunit ribosomal RNA", at positions 29 to 506 of the family's 1533-position model. The record is from RNAcentral.